AGGGGAGUGAAAAAGAACCUGAAACCGUGUACGUACAAGCAGUGGGAGCACAGGUUUACCUGUGUGACUGCGUACCUUUUGUAUAAUGGGUCAGCGACUUAUAUUCUGUAGCAAGGUUAACCGUAUAGGGGAGCCGUAGGGAAACCGAGUCUUAACCGGGCGUUAAGUUGCAGGGUAUAGACCCGAAACCCGGUGAUCUAGCCAUGGGCAGGUUGAAGGUUGGGUAACACUAACUGGAGGACCGAACCGACUAAUGUUGAAAAAUUAGCGGAUGACCUGUGGCUGGGGGUGAAAGGCCAAUCAAACCGGGAGAUAGCUGGUUCUCCCCGAAAGCUAUUUAGGUAGCGCCUCGUGAAUUCAUCUCCGGGGGUAGAGCACUGUUUCGGCUAGGGGGCCAUCCCGGCUUACCAACCCGAUGCAAACUGCGAAUACCGGAGAAUGUUAUCACGGGAGACACACGGCGGGUGCUAACGUCCGUCGUGAAGAGGGAAACAACCCAGACCGCCAGCUAAGGUCCCAAAGUCAUGGUUAAGUGGGAAACGAUGUGGGAAGGCCCAGACAGCCAGGAUGUUGGCUUAGAAGCAGCCAUCAUUUAAAGAAAGCGUAAUAGCUCACUGGUCGAGUCGGCCUGCGCGGAAGAUGUAACGGGGCUAAACCAUGCACCGAAGCUGCGGCAGCGAACGUAUCACCCAAGACAACUUUACGGAGUUGACGAUUGACGGAGCGAAGCGACGUCAAAGCGUUCAUUAAAGUCGAGUUGGCUUAGGGAUACGUUCGUUGGGUAGGGGAGCGUUCUGUAAGCCUGUGAAGGUGUGUCGUGAGGCAUGCUGGAGGUAUCAGAAGUGCGAAUGCUGACAUAAGUAACGAUAAAGCGGGUGAAAAGCCCGCUCGCCGGAAGACCAAGGGUUCCUGUCCAACGUUAAUCGGGGCAGGGUGAGUCGACCCCUAAGGCGAGGCCGAAAGGCGUAGUCGAUGGGAAACGGGUUAAUAUUCCCGUACUUGGUGUUACUGCGAAGGGGGGACGGAGAAGGCUAUGUUGGCCGGGCGACGGUUGUCCCGGUUUAAGCGUGUAGGUGUGUGUUCCAGGUAAAUCCGGUUCACUUUAACACUGAGGCGUGACGACGAGGCACUACGGUGCUGAAGCAACAAAUGCCCUGCUUCCAGGAAAAGCCUCUAAGCAUCAGGUAACACGAAAUCGUACCCCAAACCGACACAGGUGGUCAGGUAGAGAAUACCAAGGCGCUUGAGAGAACUCGGGUGAAGGAACUAGGCAAAAUGGUGCCGUAACUUCGGGAGAAGGCACGCUGACACGUAGGUGAAGUGAUUUACUCAUGGAGCUGAAGUCAGUCGAAGAUACCAGCUGGCUGCAACUGUUUAUUAAAAACACAGCACUGUGCAAACACGAAAGUGGACGUAUACGGUGUGACGCCUGCCCGGUGCCGGAA
This 1445-nucleotide ribosomal RNA is filed under the name Salmonella enterica. RNAcentral describes it as "partial 23S ribosomal RNA". It matches the Rfam family "Bacterial large subunit ribosomal RNA", at positions 532 to 1874 of the family's 2925-position model. The record is from RNAcentral. Lineage: Bacteria; Pseudomonadati; Pseudomonadota; Gammaproteobacteria; Enterobacterales; Enterobacteriaceae. RNAcentral also lists the same sequence under 1 other name.